This 701-nucleotide ribosomal RNA is filed under the name uncultured Bacteroidota bacterium. RNAcentral's name for it is "bacterial SSU rRNA". It matches the Rfam family "Bacterial small subunit ribosomal RNA", at positions 216 to 917 of the family's 1533-position model. Lineage: Bacteria; Pseudomonadati; Bacteroidota. The record is from RNAcentral.
UGGUGACGGAUGAGGAUGCGCUCCAUUAGGCAGUUGGCGGGGUAACGGCCCACCAAACCUACGAUGGAUAGGGGUUCUGAGAGGAAGGUCCCCCACAUUGGAACUGAGACACGGUCCAAACUCCUACGGGAGGCAGCAGUGAGGAAUAUUGGUCAAUGGACGAGAGUCUGAACCAGCCAAGUAGCGUGCAGGAUGACGGCCCUCCGGGUUGUAAACUGCUUUUAUUGGGGAAUAAAGUUAGGCACGUGUGCCUAUUUGUAUGUACCCAUAUGAAUAAGCAUCGGCUAAUUCCGUGCCAGCAGCCGCGGUAAUACGGAAGAUGCGAGCGUUAUCCGGAUUUAUUGGGUUUAAAGGGAGCGUAGGCGGGACGGUAAGUCAGCGGUCAAAUGUCCGUGCUCAACGCGGUCAUGCCGUUGAAACUGUCGUUCUUGAGUGCAUGCGGGGAAAGUGGAAUUCGUGGUGUAGCGGUGAAAUGCUUAGAUAUCACGAAGAACUCCGAUAGCGAAGGCAUCUUUCCGGCCUGCAACUGACGCUGAGGCUCGAAAGUGCGGGGAUCAAACAGGAUUAGAUACCCUGGUAGUCCGCACCGUAAACGAUGAAUGCUCGUUUUUGGCGAUAUAAUGUCAGAGACCAAGCGAAAGCGUUAAGCAUUCCACCUGGGGAGUACGCCGGCAACGGUGCAACUCAAAUGAAUUGACGGA